CUGCAAUGAUGGGAGUAUUUUUCCUUAAUAGUAGUUCACCUAGUGAGUGUUGAUACUUUGUGUCUGAGUGA
Molecule: small nucleolar RNA, 71 nt
Organism: Prolemur simus (greater bamboo lemur)
Lineage: Eukaryota; Metazoa; Chordata; Mammalia; Primates; Lemuridae
Source: Ensembl